UAUGUGAUCGUCUCUCGCAUAUCAAUAAGCGGAGGAAAAGAAACUAACAAGGAUUCCCCUAGUAACGGCGAGUGAAGCGGGAAGAGCUCAAAUUCGAAAUCUUAAAGGGUUUCCCUUUACGAAUUGUAGUUUAAAGAAGUGUUUUCUGUUGAGGUUUUGGUAAAAGUUCUUUGGAAUAGGACAUCAUAGAGGGUGAGAAUCCCGUAUUUGACCUCUACUUUCAACUUUGUGAUACACUUUCAAAGAGUCGGAUUGUUUGGGAAUGCAGUCCAAAAUGGGUGGUAAAUUUCAUCUAAAGCUAAAUAUUGGCGAGAGACCGAUAGCGAACAAGUACCGUGAGGGAAAGAUGAAAAGAACUUUGAAAAGAGAGUUAAACAGUACGUGAAAUUGUCAAAAGGGAAGCGUUUGACACCAGUGUUGUUUUUCUGAAAAUCAAUUAAAGAACUGUUUAUGCUAAGCUGUUUAGACUUUAUCAGCUAUCUGUUUAGUUUUGAGCUUUUCUUUAAUGCACUUUUCAGUUAACAAGUCAACAUCAAUUUCUUUUGCUGUAAAAAAGCUUGAGGAAGGUGGCUUGAGAUUCGUCUUAAGUGUUUAUAGCCUCUUGCCUAUGCAGUCGGAGAGAUUGAGGUCUGCAGCGUAGAUCCUUCGGGGCUAAAUGCAUUUGUGCUAAGUUAUAGCAUUUUAUAGACAACUUGUUGACUAUGAUUUGUCUUGUAGCUUACUCGCUUAUGUUAUUUUACCUACGCUUAGGAUGUUGACUGAUAUGUAGUCGUA
Molecule: ribosomal RNA, 774 nt
Filed under: uncultured Neocallimastigales
Lineage: Eukaryota; Fungi; Neocallimastigomycota; Neocallimastigomycetes; Neocallimastigales
Description: partial large subunit ribosomal RNA
Rfam family: Eukaryotic large subunit ribosomal RNA
Source: RNAcentral